This is a long non-coding RNA of Magnolia sinica, 1721 nucleotides long. RefSeq lists it as uncharacterized. The transcript is spliced from 3 exons. NCBI's taxonomy places the organism in Eukaryota, Viridiplantae, Streptophyta, Magnoliopsida, Magnoliales, Magnoliaceae. The record is from RefSeq and is a predicted model, not a curated record.
CUUCACCGUUUAGCAUAUAGAUUGUGGAACCACAAUAUGUUUACUUAGCAGCAACCAUGUCUGAACAAAUGUAUUAUUUUUAUCAUAUCUAUUAUUAUUAUCAUCAUUAUUAUUUGUUUCUCUAUUGCUUUCUCAUAAUUCAAUGCUUCAGUUUCAGCAUAUCCUAUAAUGUCAAAUGUUAAAAUGUCUCUUCAUCCACAUUAACUUUCUCUUCUUUAACAAUCCUACAGCACAUUCAUGUAAUUUUUAUAUGUACUUUGUAAUUGUGGGUGUUAUAUCCGUAUCCAUGGCCAUGAUAUGUUAUUAGUAUUAUAUCAAGCAACCUUGGGGGCUAUGAAGGUUCUGCUUGUUGUAGGUGUAAAUGUGGAAAAGGAUGAAUUUUGUGUUGUACAUUUGACGUAAUUACAAAUUUAAAUUCAUGUUUUCAGCUAGAAAAAGGUGUAGAUGGGCUAUUUGAUAGUUUUGCUAGAUUGGAUUCACGUGUCUCUAGUGUGGGAUUGACGUUGCAGAAAAACUGAAUUCUUCUACUUGUGGCAAGCAGAGGAUCUAGAUUCAUGUUAACCCUUCUGUCUUUUGCUGUUCUAUUUUUGAGACAAAGAUUACCAGAUUUUGUUCUGAGACACUGUUUUUGUCAUCUAAAAAACAUAAUUUCUUAUCAUUGAUUUAUUAACUCUUAUUUAGUAAUUUUCAGGUAAUAAGUUUUAGAAAUUCCAAUCUUAGUUCUAUAAAAUGGUUGUACAUCUCGUUUGAAUGAUCAAUAAAGUUACAAGUGGCAUGCUUCCACUUUUCUGGGAAAAAAAGUACUGUAUUUUUUGUGUGCAUGGUGUUUUUUUUUUUUUUUUUUGACUCCUGCUGGUAACAUUGUAUUUACUAUUUGCAUAGGAAAAGGGCUCAGAUGAAAUUGUCUUCAAGGUGAUGGAAAGAGCUAUAAAUAAAAUUGUUAUGAUCGUGGAGCUGAUUAAGUUGGUGCCAGGUGUCACAGAGUUCGUGAUAGCAAAACUGCUUUACUUGCAAUGGAUGGGAUCCAAACCAGCCAAUUUAUCUUUACAUCAAUUCAACUGGAACAACUCAUGAUGAGGGUGAAACGUAUUGGAAAUUCAUAAUGAUAUGUCCUGCUUGGAGCAAAUCAAUAUCACAAGUACAAGCUAAAAAAGCAACCUAGUUGAAUCCUUGGAGGAGCUUGCACCUGCUUGCACAUUAGAUGUGAAUUUUCCUCCAUGGUAAUAUUACCCUGAAACAAUAACUUGUUUCAUCAUUACAAAUGAAUUUUAUUUUGCCUUGGUUAUAGAUUGAAGAAUCCUUGGAGGAGCUUGCACCUACUUGCACAUUAGAUGUGAUUCGGUCCUUCUAAAUGCACAUUAGGUGGAAUUUAAAGCUUUAAAUUGGUGAAAUGCUCUGAAAUUGUACAAAUCAUCUCAGAUAGAUUAAAAAAUUCAGAUAAUUGUACAGAUCAUCUCGGAUGCGAGUUUCAGGAAUUUCCUGCUUUAUUAAAAAAGAAAAGAAAAAGAAAAAAGGAAAAAAAAAAAAUUUACUCGAAGUUCCUGUAACCUAAAAGCUCUACAGGACCUGCUGCUAAAUCCUUGAGAAAUGCACUCCCUUCAUCAGUUUCUCUAGCUCAUUUCAGAUUUAGAACAAAACAUGAGCAUUCAUUUACCUAUGAGGGAUGCUAUCUUUCCUUCUCAUAAUUGAGGAAAUAUCUAUGGUAUCACUAAAAGACGACU